CGGGUGCGUAACACGUGAGCAACCUGCCGAUCUGAGGGGGAUAGCCGGCCCAACGGCCGGGUAAUACCGCAUACGGUUUCUAUGGGACAUCCUGUGGGAACGAAACCUCCGGGGCAGAUCGAGGGGCUCGCGGCCUAUCAGCUAGUUGGUGCGGGUAACGGCCCACCAAGGCGACGACGGGUAGCUGGUCUGAGAGGAUGGCCAGCCACAUUGGGACUGAGAGACGGCCCAG
Molecule: ribosomal RNA, 232 nt
Filed under: uncultured bacterium
Lineage: Bacteria
Description: partial 16S ribosomal RNA
Rfam family: Bacterial small subunit ribosomal RNA
Source: RNAcentral